GACGAACGCUGGCGGCGUGCCUAAUACAUGCAAGUUGAGCGCUGAAGGUUGGUACUUGUACCAACUGGAUGAGCAGCGAACGGCUGAGUAACGCGUGGGGAAUCUGCCUUUGAGCGGGGGACAACAUUUGGAAACGAAUGCUAAUACCGCAUAAAAACUUUAAACACAAGUUUUAAGUUUGAAAGAUGCAAUUGCAUCACUCAAAGAUGAUCCCGCGUUGUAUUAGCUAGUUGGUGAGGUAAAGGCUCACCAAGGCGAUGAUACAUAGCCGACCUGAGAGGGUGAUCGGCCACAUUGGGACUGAGACACGGCCCAAACUCCUACGGGAGGCAGCAGUAGGGAAUCUUCGGCAAUGGACGAAAGUCUGACCGAGCAACGCCGCGUGAGUGAAGAAGGUUUUCGGAUCGUAAAACUCUGUUGGUAGAGAAGAACGUUGGUGAGAGUGGAAAGCUCAUCAAGUGACGGUAACUACCCAGAAAGGGACGGCUAACUACGUG
Molecule: ribosomal RNA, 497 nt
Filed under: uncultured bacterium
Lineage: Bacteria
Description: partial 16S ribosomal RNA
Rfam family: Bacterial small subunit ribosomal RNA
Source: RNAcentral